GUACCCUACGGGAGGCAGCAGUGGGGUUUAUUGGUUUUUGGGGAAACCCUGAUGCAGCGACGCCGCGUGAAGGAAGAAGUAUUUCGGUAUGUAAACUUCUAUCAGCAGGGAAGAAAAUGACGGUACCUGACUAAGAAGCCCCGGCUAACUACGUGCCAGCAGCCGCGGUAAUACGUAGGGGGCAAGCGUUAUCCGGAUUUACUGGGUGUAAAGGGAGCGUAGGCGGUUUAGCAAGUCAGAAGUGAAAGCCCGGGGCUCAACUCCGGGACUGCUUUUGAAACUGUUGAACUAGAUUGCAGGAGAGG
This 305-nucleotide ribosomal RNA is filed under the name uncultured bacterium. RNAcentral describes it as "bacterial SSU rRNA". It matches the Rfam family "Bacterial small subunit ribosomal RNA", at positions 333 to 657 of the family's 1533-position model. The record is from RNAcentral.